AGGAUGAGUUCACAUUAAAGCAUGCUGAUCUCUCAGCUUUCGGAGAGAAAAAUGGGGAUGUCAAACUGCAACCACAAAAAUCCAAGUCUCCUGUUCCUCACUAUCCAGCAAAGGACACUUCUGCAGCGGGUCUGAAGUCUCUACAGGGUCCUGCACUGAUCGACUCAAAGAAUUUCCCUAAAGACCCAUUUCUGAAUGGAGAUGUGGGCUUUCAGGUCUGGCGUGAGAGUGUGGAUGAAGAGGACAGAAACACAGAGGAGCUCAGCGUACACACUCAUGAACAGGUAUAAGAAACACUAAUGAUUACUACAGCAUUUCUUCAUGAUGGCAUCAUUUACUGAGUGGAUGUGUGUCUCGCUGUCUGUGCGUGCCUGUCUGUGUGUGUGUGUGUGCGUGUGUCCAGCAGAAGCUGAAGAAGAAGGUGUCAGUGAAGUUUGUUCCUCAGAGAGGUUUCGUCAUCGGUCGCUCCAGAAUUGAGAAGAUUAAUAAGGAAAAGAGGGAAGAAAACCCACAUGUUGAGGUAUUUUCACAAUAGAGUGCUUCAG
Danio aesculapii is the source of this 545-nucleotide long non-coding RNA. RefSeq lists it as uncharacterized. The record is from RefSeq and is a predicted model, not a curated record. NCBI's taxonomy places the organism in Eukaryota, Metazoa, Chordata, Actinopteri, Cypriniformes, Danionidae. The transcript is spliced from 6 exons.